GAAAAUGACUCUCGACAACGGAUAUCUCGGCUCUUGCAUCGAUGAAGAACGUAGCGAAAUGUGAUACUUGGUGUGAAUUGCAGAAUCCCGUGAACCAUCGAGUCUUUGAACGCAAGUUGCGCCCGAAGCCAUUUGGUUGAGGGCACGCCUGCCUGGGUGUCGUG
This 164-nucleotide ribosomal RNA is filed under the name Warneckea mouririifolia. Its description in RNAcentral is "5.8S ribosomal RNA". It matches the Rfam family "5.8S ribosomal RNA". Rfam says of the family: 5.8S ribosomal RNA (5.8S rRNA) is a component of the large subunit of the eukaryotic ribosome. It is transcribed by RNA polymerase I as part of the 45S precursor that also contains 18S and 28S rRNA. Functionally, it is thought that 5.8S rRNA may be involved in ribosome translocation. The record is from RNAcentral. Lineage: Eukaryota; Viridiplantae; Streptophyta; Magnoliopsida; Myrtales; Melastomataceae.